UACAAUCAUAGCCAGUUGAAACACUGGUUCUCAAACAAUCACUGACGUUAAGCAAUGUCAAGCCUGGUCAGUACCUAGAUGGGUGAUCAUUUGGGAAUACUAGGUACU
This is a non-coding RNA of Acanthosepion pharaonis, 108 nucleotides long. The record is from the annotation of a GenBank genome assembly. Lineage: Eukaryota; Metazoa; Mollusca; Cephalopoda; Sepiida; Sepiidae.